UGUGAGUGAGGGAGAGAGAAAGACAGAAGUUUCUCCUCCCAUUGGCGACUUCGCAUGAUGGCAAUGUUGAGCAGUGUAGGGGUUGAUCAUGAUCAUGUGACAGCCAGCUUUGGGAGAGAGAACACCACUGACUGAACACAGAAAUAUCUAAAGGAGUUUCCAUAGCACGAGAGAUAGUGAACGUUGCCCGUUAUUCAAGUGCUCCCAAAAGGCAUCGACGGCUCGGUGAAAAGUGCUGGACAGAAGCUGCUCUGAACAGCCCGGAUAAAAAAAACGUUCUCCGAGGACAGAAGAGAGAGAGAGAGAGAGAGACGCACAAAUCUCAGCGGGUAUGCGGGAGUUUUCGGAGUUAUUUGACGGCAAACAUAGUACAAACUAAUAAGAACUCGCUCGCAGAUUCUUUUCCUUUAUUGCGUCAUCAGUUUUGUAUUUAAAAACUGUCAACCGACAAUUGUCGGUUAUACAAAUUUUCAAUAUUGCGUUUGAAAAAGUAACGAUUGCGGGGCAGGAGUUUGGAUACUGGAAUAAAACGGGUAACACAGAUUACACCCCUCUGUCGCCCUUUUUUCCGUGGGGGUCUGUCGUUUAUUUCCCUCAGCCCGACACAUUUCCGAGGUUUUUAGGCAAUAGUUCAAACAUGGUUGGGGAAAUGGAAACGAAGGAGAAGCCCAAACCGACUCCUGACUAUCUGAUGCAGCUCAUGAACGACAAGAAGCUGAUGAGCAGCCUCCCAAACUUCUGCGGUAUCUUCAACCACCUCGAAAGACUGCUAGAUGAAGAGAUUGGACGGGUACGGAAGGACAUGUACAAUGACACAAUGAACGGCAGCACAGACAAAAGAACAUCGGAGCUCCCGGAUGCUGUGGGGCCCAUUGCACAACUCCAAGAGAAACUCUAUGUGCCUGUCAAAGAGUACCCAGAUUUUAAUUUUGUGGGAAGAAUCCUGGGACCCCGUGGCCUGACAGCCAAACAACUGGAAGCAGAGACAGGCUGCAAGAUUAUGGUGCGAGGCAAAGGCUCAAUGAGAGACAAGAAGAAGGAAGAGCAGAACAGGGGGAAACCUAAUUGGGAACACCUGAAUGAAGAUCUGCAUGUCCUCAUCACUGUGGAAGACUCUCAGAACCGAGCUGAGAUCAAACUCAAAAGAGCCGUCGAGGAGGUCAAGAAACUUCUAGUUCCUGCAGCGGAAGGUGAAGACAGCUUGAAGAAAAUGCAGCUGAUGGAGCUGGCCAUCCUCAACGGCACAUACAGAGACGCCAAUGUCAAGUCACAGGCCUUGGCUUUCUCCUUGGCCGCCACCGCACAAGCUCCCCGCAUCCUCACAGGCCCCUCCCCGGUGAUGCCCAAUGCAGCUCUUCGUAACCCUGCACCUGCUACCCCAACCCUCAUGCCCCUCAUCCGACAGAUCCAGACCUCCGCCAUCAUGCCCACAGGCACGCCCCACCACGCGACCCUCGUACCCCAGACCCCUGAGUCAGGCAUCAUCUAUGCACCCUACGACUACCCCUACACCCUCGCCCCUGCAACCUCCAUCCUCGAAUAUCCCAUUGACUCCAGUGGUGUUUUAGGUAUGGCUUUCCCAACAAAAGGCUAGUAAUGCUCAGAGGUUUAACAGUCUACAACCCAUACGAGUGUUAAAAAAAUGCUUUGCUUUACAGCUGCCUUGGAACAAAAAAACAGCAAAUGAAGAAACUGAUUUAAUUUUUCAGAAACGAAAGACUAAAGUUUAUUACUAAUGUUUACACUAGUCUUAACUGUUUUUGACUUAUUAAAAAUUGAUAUUUUAAGAAAAAUACUGAUAAUUAAGCCUUUAUUACAUUCCUCUGUUUGAAAUGUAAUCUAUAUUUGUUUAGCUUGAAAUAUUUGUAUUACUUAUUUUCCUGCAACUGUAUCUUAGAUAUUUAGAGAGUGAUCAGUAUUAUUGCUACUAUAACUUGCUUGUGAAAAACGUUCUACAAAUGAAAUAGCUUGUAGUGAAUUCAAAUGACCUGAGGCAUAUAGUAUGUUAAGAAUUAUUUGUUAGGUGGAAUACAAGGGCUCUAUGGUCAUGGUUUAAUUUAAAGCAUUAAAAAGUUGUGUUUUUAUGGAAAUACUUAGAAUUACAGUAAUGAGAAUUUGUCAACGGGCGACAGCAUAUGAUGAAAUUUUACUAUAAUGGGGCCCUUGGAAUUGUUAAAGAGGAAAUAUCACUUGUGCCUUGUAAUUUGGUCUUACAGGCCUUUUUGUGAAGUGUGAUGUAGUUUUAAUGAAUUUUAAUGAAUAAUCUGAUGUUAAUUUUUGUUUUGUUGGCAAUGUUGCGCUUUGAGCAGGUGCAGUGACUACUAAAGUACGAAGGCAGGAUAUGCGCGUCCAUCCUUACCAAAGGGUAGUGACCGCAGAACGAGCCGCCACCGGCAACUAACCAAUGACCCUCUGAGCUCUCAACUCUUCACCCAAUGAUGACCUGACCAUUGCCUGCCUGCUGACCAGUUCUCUGGCUCUCGUCCUUCGCUUCUAUGUUUUGGCGGCCUGCCAGCGAGCCCAGCAGCUUUAAAUGCUUAACACAGCCGAGAAGCCGUGAUGGCCCCACGCCACCACCCGCAGAACAGAAUUGCUCCCCUUCUCAAAACCGAGGACCUCCUUGGUCAGGUGACCUGGGCUACUCAGCCUGCACUGAAGUGUCAAAGCAAUAACACUGUCUGGGCAAAACCCCACUGUUAGCCUUUCACACACUAAAUACACACACAUUUGUAUUGAUUUUUAAAAAUAAAUGGUUGAGCAUUAUGUUUAAAGGUAUAGUCCCAAAAAUGAUAACUUCUGUCAUCAUUUACUCAAUCUUUUGUUGUUCCAAACCUCUAUGACUUUCUUUCUUCAGUGGAUCACGGUCAUAUGGGUUUGGAACAACAUGAGGGUGAGUAAAUGAUGACAGAAUUAAUUUCAUUUUUGGGUGAUCUGUCACUUUAAAUCUCUUAGUUUGUGCACUCACAGUCUCUUAUAUUUCUCAUACCAUCCUGAAGAGUUGGAAACAAAAUAACACAUUUGAGUAAAUAAUUGGUGGAACCAGCUAUUUAAAACUGACCUCUAGGUCCAGAUGUCCAUAAGGGAUGUAAAAGCCAUGCUUGCCUACCAGCUUUUUAUUCGUAGAGCUGUUGAAAUGCAUCCAGACGCAUGAACAAGUGUACAAACACUGAAUAUCAAUUGAUAUCUUUUUGAUAUGAGGGUGCUGCACAGGAAAUUACUAUAUAUUUUUCACAGGUGAUCAUUUUUGUAUUCAGAAACAGUAUUGUUUAAAUGUGAUGAACAAACAAUGUUUAUUUCUUUACAAUGACAGACAAAUUUUAGAGACCAAAACGGUGUCUUUUUUUUAAAAUCAAACAAACAAGUGCCUUAUUUUACACAUCAUCAUCAAUUACAAACAAGUAUGAAUGUCCAUCAGUGUGUUAUAUGCCAACAUAUCAGGUAUUUCUCUUCAAGUCGUCUUUAUGAUAAUGAAAACAAGGGGUGUACAGAACUAAGUUGCAGCCAUUACACUCAUACUAGUUUUUUAACCCUCUUUUUUAAUUGUAUUUUAUUUUUCUUUAUGAAUAGUAAUUAAUAGAGUUUUACUCUGACUACAUUUUGAGACCUUUAUGCUCGCUAUCUGUUUGUUUUUUAUAUUGUAUGUGUACAAGCUCUCUAAUAUAUUAAUAGAUCCAUAACUACAUCUGUUACACAAGCAAUUAAGCCACCAACAAACUGGGCAUCAUUAGUAAAACUGUUAUUAUUUGGGAUAAUUGCACGAACCUUGUCAAGUCAUGUUCUGGCCGUAUUUCACACCAAAAUCACAAGAAAUAAAUUUUUUUAAAAAUCUUAAAGAAAACACAUUUUAGGAUUUCUUGCAUUUGUUACAUCAUAUUUAUGACAAUUAAGAACAUUUCCCACCAAAAUUCGCAUUACCAUAAUGCAGAAAAAUAUGUUAUUUAAACUGUAAAGUAUUUGGGCAUCAUGGUAGUAUUUGUUGAACUGCCUUUUGUUCUGUUUUAAAUACAAUUCUACUAUUUUUGUAUUACUAUAUUACAGAAAUGAGAACCUAAUGAGAAUAACUAUUGAGAAAAAUAGGAAUUGCCAAAAAAGUAAAAUAUUUGGACACACUACUGUAAAAUAAUCUUAAUUGUCCUAAAAAAAUAAAAUAAAAAUAAAAAUACAGUGGCAAGAAAAAGUAUGUGAUCCCUUUGGAAUUAGCUGGUUUUCUGCAUCAAUUUGGUCAUAAAAUGUGAUCUCAUCUUCAUCAAAUUCACAAGUAUAGACAAACACAAUGUGCUUAAGCUAACAACACGUAGUUAUAAUCUUUGUUGUCUGUACUGAAAACAUCCCAUUAUUGCUGUGGAAAAAGUAAGUGAACCCUUGGAUGUAAUAAAUGAUUGAUCCACUGUUGGCAGUAAUAACCUCAACCGUGCGUUUCCGGUAGCUGCGGAUUAGACCUGCACAACAUUCAGAAGGAAUUCUGGACCAUUCUACCUUACAGAACUGCUUCAGCUCAGCCAUAUUCUUAGGAUGUCUGGUGUGAAUGGCUCUCUUGAGGUCAUUCCACAGCAUCGUUAAUGGUUAAGGUCUGGGCUCUGACUUGGCCACUCCAAAAGGAGUAUUUUCUUUUCUUUUUUUAAGCCAUUCUGUAGUGGAUUUACUUCGAUGUUUAGGGUCAUUGUUCUGUUGCAUCACCCAGCUUCAGCUGGCACACAGCCACCCUGACAUUAUCUUGUAGGAUAUCUUGAGAAACUUGAGAAUUAAUUUUUCCCUCGAUAAUGGCAAGUGGUCCAGGCCACGAAGUAGCAAAGCAACCCCAAAUCAUGAUGCUCCCUCCACCGUUGAGAUGAUGUUUUCAUGUUGGUAUGUGGUGAUGAUCUUACGCCAUACAUAGUUCUGAGUGUUCUUCCCAAACAAUUCAACCAUGGUUUCAUCAGUCCACAAAACAUUUUCCCAGUAGCAUCCUGGAGGGUCAAGGUGGUCUUUGAAAAACUUCAGGUACACAGCAGUGUUUAUGUUGGAAAGCAGAGGCUUCAUUCGUGGUGUCCUGCCAUGGUCCACAUCAGCAGAUACUUCUUGUAAUAGUAAUUGCAAAUGUUUGAGUGCUUUUUAUAAAUCAAAGCACCUCCCACACCUCCAAUCUUGUUUCAUUAAUGGGAUGCCAGGUUUGCCAACUCCUGACUCUAAUUAGCUUUUGUUGACAUCAUUAGCCUAGGGGUUCACAUACUUUUUCCAACCUACACUGUGAAUGUUUGAAUGAUGUAUUCAGUAUGUACAAGAACACUACAAUAAUUUGUGUGAUAUAAGUUAAAACAGAUUGUUUUUUCAUUAUUGUAACUUAGAUGAUCAAACCAGAUUUUACGACAAAUUUAUACAUGAAUGCAGGUAAUUCCAAAGGGUUCACAUACUUGCCACUUCUAUAUAUUACCAUUUUUAUUUAUUGGUAAAAUGUGUUUUCCAUAAAUUUCUAAAUUUUUCACUAUACAUACAGUAUAUUUCAAGGAGCAUUUAUUCAAUUAAGCAGGUUAAAAAUGAUAAAGGUUUGGAGUUAAUUAGCACAAAACGUUUUACUGGUUAUAACAGGUUGGACCCCUAAUGAAGAAUUUAAUUUUACCAGAAGAGCAUAUUUGUGACGGACAUCUCACAUUUCUUCAUACCUUUCUAUGCAAAUGAUUUUCAUUUAAAAGUGACUAAAUACAUUUCCCCAGUUGGUCUUCCAGUUAAAUUUUCAAACCAUUUCAGAACAGAAGAAUGAGGAGAAUAAAAGCCUAUUAACAAACUAGAAUUACACUUUCCAAUGUGGUUAUCAUAACUGGAUUUUGUGAAGAUACAUCUCCUUUUUUAAUAAUAUUGGUUAUAUUUAUGCAGAGCAAAUGCAAGAUGUUUGAGGUUUUUGCAGUUGCUUGUAAUUUGUUUAUUAACCUGGAUAUUGCUAAAGGAAAAAUUCUGCAAAGAUGGAAUUUGUUUUUACAUGGAUCUUUUACCCAGUCAGUUAGACAAGGGACUGGAGUUGUUUGUUUGUGUUUCUUGUGGUUUUAUCGUUUCUUUCAUUUCAGUAUUAUGUCAGUGUGUGCAAGUAUGUGUGUCAUUGUGUUUACGGUGAUUGUUUGAGUGAGUGUUUAGUGUAUUGUAAAUGCCAAUGAACUGCAACUCUCCAUUCAAGGUUUGAUUAUUAUUGUUUGUUUUUUGUUUGUUUGUUAUUUUGCAAACCCAAGCAGCUCCCUGCAUUGGAGAAUAUACAGUCCUAUUUAUAACCAUUGUAACAUUUUAUAAUGUAUUUUUCUAUCAUAUUUUGUAUGUGAGAAAUAACAUUAAAUCACAUUUCCAGAUACGAAAGUAUGCCUUAUUAAAAAAAUUGGUAUUUGAGAGAAACACUUUCAAACACUCGAUAUUUGUAUUUUUUCCGUGAUUAUAUAAUUCCAUAGGAAAAUAUUAAAAAAAACAGUUUGAUUAUGAUAUAAUGAACAACAUUUGGUCCCAAGCUCACUCAAAGCAAGUGUUACAAAAGUUGUUAUUAUUUGCUGGGGUGUUCAGUUUGUCAUUUUUGCUUUGCCUCUGUGCCUUAUGUAAAUUGUAAGCUAUUAACCAUUUUAGUUAAUUUGAUUAAUUUUUUCUUGACGAUUGUACUAACAUUUGAUGGUUUCUAUACAUUAACCCCGUCAAUAAUUUAUUUUGUCUGCUUUGAAUCUUUAGAACAGGAGAUGUGUGAAACUAAGCAAGAGUGUUUUACUGACUUUGAAAUAUGCUGGACUAAACUCUGUACUGAGAAGCAAUAGCCGAAUAUUAAAAUCAUAGUUUUAAAAAGGAA
RNA transcript from Myxocyprinus asiaticus (Chinese sucker), 6790 nucleotides. It is a transcript of the gene named QKI, KH domain containing, RNA binding 2, with no coding region annotated. The record is from RefSeq and is a predicted model, not a curated record. Lineage: Eukaryota; Metazoa; Chordata; Actinopteri; Cypriniformes; Catostomidae. The transcript has 8 exons.